UACGUAGGGACCAAGCGUUGUUCGGAUUUACUGGGCGUAAAGGGCGCGUAGGCGGCGUGACAAGUCACUUGUGAAAUCUCUGAGCUUAACUCAGAACGGCCAAGUGAAACUGUUGUGCUAGAGUGCAGAAGGGGCAAUCGGAAUUCUUGGUGUAGCGGUGAAAUGCGUAGAUAUCAAGAGGAACACCUGAGGUGAAGACGGGUUGCUGGGCUGACACUGACGCUGAGGAGCGAAAGCCAGGGGAGCAAACGGG
Molecule: ribosomal RNA, 253 nt
Filed under: uncultured bacterium
Lineage: Bacteria
Description: partial 16S ribosomal RNA
Rfam family: Bacterial small subunit ribosomal RNA
Source: RNAcentral